AAUUUAGUAUAAGUAUAUCCCAAGCAAUAUUUGGGACAUAUUUAUAUUAAAA
Pan troglodytes (chimpanzee) is the source of this 52-nucleotide microRNA precursor. It matches the Rfam family "mir-1302 microRNA precursor family". The record is from Rfam. NCBI's taxonomy places the organism in Eukaryota, Metazoa, Chordata, Mammalia, Primates, Hominidae.